This 466-nucleotide ribosomal RNA is filed under the name uncultured bacterium. Its description in RNAcentral is "partial 16S ribosomal RNA". It matches the Rfam family "Bacterial small subunit ribosomal RNA", at positions 331 to 793 of the family's 1533-position model. The record is from RNAcentral.
CCAGACUCCUACGGGAGGCAGCAGUGAGGAAUAUUGGUCAAUGGGCUUACGCCUGAACCAGCCAAGUCGCGUGAGGGAAGACUGCCCUAUGGGUUGUAAACCUCUUUUGUCAGGGAGCAACGCCGGCUACGUGUAGCCGGACUGAGAGUACCUGAAGAAAAAGCAUCGGCUAACUCCGUGCCAGCAGCCGCGGUAAUACGGAGGAUGCGAGCGUUAUCCGGAUUUAUUGGGUUUAAAGGGUGCGUAGACGGGAAGUUAAGUUAGUUGUGAAAUCCCAAGGCUCAACUUUGGAACUGCAACUAAAACUAAUUUUCUUGAGUACUGGAGAGGAAAGUGGAAUUCCUAGUGUAGCGGUGAAAUGCGUAGAUAUUAGGAGGAACACCAGUGGCGAAGGCGACUUUCUGGACAGAAACUGACGUUGAGGCACGAAAGUGUGGGGAGCAAACAGGAUUAGAUACCCCAGUAC